GGGAGACUUAUUAUGACAUUCGCUUACCACUUCUGAUGAAGGUUGAACGCGUUUUCAUUACCCCAUCCUGACACAGGGAGGUAGUGACAAGAAAUAACAAUAGUCCUGCUCUAAGCAGGAUCUAAUUGGAAUGAGUACAAUUUAAACAUCUUAACGAGAACCCAUUGGAGGGCAAGUCUGGUGCCAGCAGCCGCGGUAAUUCCAGCUCCAAUAGCGUAUACUAAAGUUGUUGCAGUUAAAAAGCUCGUAGUCGGAUUUCUGCGCGGGUGGGGCAGCCAGUGCCGCUUUUGGCUCAGCGCUAGCAACGCCCGCGCAUCCUGCCGCGAACGUCGCUACCAUUGAUUUGGUGGCGUUUCGGGAUCGGCUCGUUUACUUUGAGAAAAAUAGAGUGUUCAAAGCAGGCCAACUCGCCUUGAAUAAGUUAGCAUGGAAUAAUGAUAAAGGACUUCGGUUCUAUUUUGUUGGUGUUCCGGGACUGAAGUAAUGAUUGAUAGGGACGGUUGGGGGCCUCAGUAUUUCGGAGCGAGAGGUGAAAUUCUUAGACCUCCGGAAGACUAACCGCUGCGAAAGCGUUGGCCAAGGACGUUCCCUUUGAUCAAGAACGAAAGUUGGGGGAUCGAAGACCAUCAGAUACGGUCGUAGUCUCAACUAUAAACUAUACCAGCUAGGGAUCGGCCGAUGUUGUAAACUUAAGACUCGGUCGGCACCUUAUGAGAAAUCAAAGCAUCUGGGUUCCGGGGGGAGUAUGGUCGCAAGGCUGAAACUUAAAGGAAUUGACGGAAGGGCACCACCAGGCGUGGGGCCUGCGGCUUAAUUUGACUCAACACGGGGAAACUUACCAGGUCCAGACAUAGUGAGGAUGACAGACAGACAGCUCUUUCUUGAUUCUACGGGUGGUGGUGCAUGGCCGUUGUUAGUUGGAGGAGUGAUUCGUCUGGUUAAUUCCCUUAACGACCGUGUCACCGACCUGCUAAUAAUAGCCCGCGUGAGCUUUCAUUACUCCACAGCGAGCUUCUCAGAGGGACUAGUGCUCGGCUCUAGGCACGGGAAGUUCGGGGCAAUAACAGGUUUGUGAUGCCAUUAGAUGAUAUGGCCCGCACACGGUCCACACAGACGCCUACACCGAGCAUAUCAGCUGCCCCGAGAGGGUCUCUUAUGCCUAAUCUUUAGACCCGUCCGCGCUCUAGGGAUCCACCUUCUCAAAUAUGGGUCGUGCAACGAGGAAUUCCUUGGAAAUGCGACUCCUCAUCUCGCGUUGCAUACGUUCCUCCCCAUAGUACACAACUCCCGUCACUCCAACCGAGGAAUGUUCCGAGGAAAUUCUCGGAGGGCUCCUGUCACCCGCCGCGAGUCGGCGAACGGGAGAUCCGAAGUCGCUUAAAUCUCAUCAGAUCGAGGAAGGAGAAGUCGUACCAAGGUACCC
This 1423-nucleotide ribosomal RNA is filed under the name uncultured Rhizaria. RNAcentral's name for it is "SSU rRNA". It matches the Rfam family "Eukaryotic small subunit ribosomal RNA", at positions 384 to 1804 of the family's 1831-position model. The record is from RNAcentral.